Long non-coding RNA from Ananas comosus (pineapple), 943 nucleotides. RefSeq lists it as uncharacterized. NCBI's taxonomy places the organism in Eukaryota, Viridiplantae, Streptophyta, Magnoliopsida, Poales, Bromeliaceae. The transcript is spliced from 2 exons. The record is from RefSeq and is a predicted model, not a curated record.
GAUCGCAUUACUCACAUCACGUUGCUGAGCAGUAUGCAGAAUGAUCUCUUGUGCGAGUGUGAGUAGUAUUCAACUGCGUAUGACAUGUGGGAGGCUCUCAAAGCAAAAUUGGGUGUAACUUCGGCUACAAGGUUGCGUAGUCUGACUAUGCGGUUUGAUAGUUAUAAAAAGCGUGCUGAUCAGACUAUGAAAUAGCACGUUAGAACAAUGUUAAACAUAAUUCGCGAGUUAAAGUCGGCUGGCGGCACCUUGACUAAUGAGCAGCAGAUCCAAGCUAUGAUUCGCUCCCUUCCCAACUCGUGGGAACAUAUGCGAGUAAAUUUGACCCAUAAUGACAAUAUCAAAAUUUUUGAGGAUGUUGUGCGGUAUUUGGAGUUGGAGGAGGAGCGCCUUGAGGCUGUUAAAACUCCAACUACCAAUGCUGCUGAGUCAAACUUUUGCAGUACAUCUGGGUUCAAGCGAAAGAGGACUACUGGAGCUCAAAAUCGUAGCGGAUCGGCGCCUAAGAACGCGAAGAGCACUAAAAGAAAGAGAAGCAAACGAGGUGGCAAGAAGGACAAGUCAAAGAUGACUUGUUUCAACUGUAAUUAGCUGGGACACUUCGCUCGUGAUUGCAUUGAGCCGAAGAAGACUCAGAAGCAACAGACCACGUAGCGAGGGAUCGGAUGGGAUUCGUCGAGUACUGUCGUGUGCCUGCUGGGAGCAGAAGAGUAUACAUGGGGAACGAUUCAAGUGUCGAUGUGUUAGGCGUUGGCACAUACAAGUUGAUCAUGCAAGGUGAUCGAACUUUAUACCUACAUGAUGUACGUUAUGCUCCAGGAAUUCGGCGGAACUUGUUUUCUAUUCUUGCUAUGCUACAGUUAGGCUUUUCUUUUCGUUUUGAGAGUGAUGUAGCUAAAAUUUAUCUUGGAACUAUUUAUUAUGGAAGAGGUUUUAUGUCAAA